RNAcentral lists this transfer RNA (91 nucleotides) under Salinisphaera hydrothermalis. RNAcentral describes it as "tRNA-Ser". It matches the Rfam family "tRNA". From Rfam's summary of the family: Transfer RNA (tRNA) molecules are approximately 80 nucleotides in length. Their secondary structure includes four short double-helical elements and three loops (D, anti-codon, and T loops). Further hydrogen bonds mediate the characteristic L-shaped molecular structure. tRNAs have two regions of fundamental functional importance: the anti-codon, which is responsible for specific mRNA codon recognition, and the 3' end, to which the tRNAs corresponding amino acid is attached (by aminoacyl-tRNA synthetases). tRNAs cope with the degeneracy of the genetic code in two manners: having more than one tRNA (with a specific anti-codon) for a particular amino acid; and 'wobble' base-pairing, i.e. permitting non-standard base-pairing at the 3rd anti-codon position. The record is from RNAcentral. Lineage: Bacteria; Pseudomonadati; Pseudomonadota; Gammaproteobacteria; Salinisphaerales; Salinisphaeraceae. RNAcentral also lists the same sequence under 23 other names.
GGAGAGGUGUCCGAGCGGUCGAAGGAGCACGCCUGGAAAGCGUGUGUGCGGUAACCCCGUACCGAGGGUUCGAAUCCCUCCCUCUCCGCCA